GUUCCACUGUGCUGGCCACGGCGACCUCUCCAACUAGCACACUGUUUGCAUUCAGCCGCUCCGUGUGAAUUUCUGUGCGUUUAAAGGUUGCUGACGCUGAACGAGAGCUCUACACCGACACCCAGCGGCAGCUGCCGAGCAACACAACCGCACAACGUCAAAGGGCCGCCUACUACGAGAAGAAGGCGUGAGAUGCCGUGACGCCCACUCCCCGUCACGUCCUUCACGGGAGUUGGCGUCUCCGACCUACCGAUCUGCUGCCCCGCCGACUCCGACGCUAGUUUCUUAGUGGGAUUCAGCACCGUAACGCCGGC
Long non-coding RNA from Schistocerca nitens (vagrant locust), 314 nucleotides. RefSeq lists it as uncharacterized. Lineage: Eukaryota; Metazoa; Arthropoda; Insecta; Orthoptera; Acrididae. The transcript has 4 exons. The record is from RefSeq and is a predicted model, not a curated record.